Molecule: long non-coding RNA, 333 nt
Filed under: Physcomitrium patens
Lineage: Eukaryota; Viridiplantae; Streptophyta; Bryopsida; Funariales; Funariaceae
Description: long non-coding RNA (PPAT_LNC001842)
Source: RNAcentral
CCUCAUUUAUAAGAAUGUGAAUGGAGUGGAGAUAGCUACAUUUACUAAGUUUAGAUCAAACAAAGAUAAGUUCAAUAUAUGGCAUAAUUGCCUUGGCCAUUUGAAUGUGAAGAGUAUAAAAGAGCUUAAGACCAUGGUAAGUGGCUUAGAUCUUAGAAAUACAAGCCAAAAUACAAAAGAACUUGCAUAUGAAGGAUGCAUACAAGGCAAACACAAAGAGCCUCAUUUCCAAGGAGUGUAGCAACACAUGCUACCAAGUUGCUAGAGAUUGUCCAGUCAGAUGUAUGUGGAUGUAUAAAAAAAUAUAAAUAUUAGAAGAUCAAGAUAUUUCUU